UAGGGAAUCUUCCGCAAUGGGCGAAAGCCUGACGGAGCAACGCCGCGUGAGUGAUGAAGGUCUUCGGAUCGUAAAACUCUGUUAUUAGGGAAGAACAUAUGUGUAAGUAACUGUGCACAUCUUGACGGUACCUUAUCAGAAAGCCACGGCUAACUACGUGCCAGCAGCCGCGGUAAUACGUAGGUGGCAAGCGUUAUCCGGAAUUAUUGGGCGUAAAGCGCGCGUAGGCGGUUUUUUAAGUCUGAUGUGAAAGCCCACGGCUCAACCGUGGAGGGUCAUUGGAAACUGGAAAACUUGAGUGCAGAAGAGGAAAGUGGAAUUCCAUGUGUAGCGGUGAAAUGCGCAGAGAUAUGGAGGAACACCAGUGGCGAAGGCGACUUUCUGGUCUGUAACUGACGCUGAUGUGCGAAAGCGUGGGGAUCAAACAGGAAUAGAUACCCUGGAGUCCACCGCCGUAAACAUAUGUUGAUGCUAAGUGUUAGGGGGUUUCCGCCCCCUUAGUGCUGCAGCUAACGCAUUAAGCACUCCGCCUGGGGAGUACGACCGCAAGGGUUGA
Molecule: ribosomal RNA, 556 nt
Filed under: uncultured bacterium
Lineage: Bacteria
Description: bacterial SSU rRNA
Rfam family: Bacterial small subunit ribosomal RNA
Source: RNAcentral